Molecule: ribosomal RNA, 378 nt
Filed under: uncultured eukaryote
Lineage: Eukaryota
Description: partial 18S ribosomal RNA
Rfam family: Eukaryotic small subunit ribosomal RNA
Source: RNAcentral
CAAUAGCGUAUAUUUAAGUUGUUGCAGUUAAAAAGCUCGUAGUUGGAUUUCGGAUGGGACUUGCCGGUCCGUCGUUUCGAUGUGCACUGGCCAGUCCUAUCUUGUUGUCGGGGACUAGCUCCUGGGCUUCACUGUCCGGGACUAGGAGCCGACGAAGUUACUUUGAGUAAAUUAGAGUGUUCAAAGCAAGCCUACGCUCUGAAUAUAUUAGCAUGGAAUAACAUGAUAGGACUCUGGCUUAUCUUGUUGGUCUGUGAGACCAGAGUAAUGAUUAAGAGGGACAGUCGGGGACAUUCGUAUUUCAUUGUCAGAGGUGAAAUUCUUGGAUUUAUGAAAGACGAACUUCUGCGAANGNAUUUGUNAAGGAUGUUUNCAUUA